GACAACGAAUGAGGAGGGCUUGGGUUGUUAAAGUAAGCAUUUCUUUUGGGGAUCUCCAUUGACAGUCACGGGAACAUGGCUAAACAGUAAACACAAAGUUAAAAAAGCAACAGAAAUGUGUGCAGAUUCAAUUGUGAUAGCAAUGAAAUGUAAAUGCAUUCAAAGCUUUGCGUUACUAAAAUGAUUAAUCUACACCAAAACGCCCUCAGAUUGCGCAAAAAACAUAACCUGUUUCGUAACAGUGUCUUAGAGUUAUGAACGCAACAAUGUCACUAGCACAACAAUGUCAUCACAUAUCAUCAGGAAACGCUUUAGAUUCUCAAUUAUUUAUGCAUGAGUGGUAUGAAGUUAUGAACGCAACUCGGUCUUGUAUUUCGAAUGACGCAGAACUGGCGAUGAUGAAGUUACCAGGUUAACAGGACGAAAUCAAAUCUUGUAGAAGUAACUCAAGCGAGAUCCGAGCACUUCAGUCUUCUCGGUAGGGAAACGAAGCAAAACAGAGAGGCCACUGCUUAAAGUUUAAGGCAGCGAACAGCAAUGGCGGCAAUAAAUAUUAGUCGCCUGAAUUCGAUGAAUAAAGUCUGCAAAGUGAAAUAAACCAGUGAGAUCGUUUUUCCAUACUCCCCGCAGCUUCAAAAUAAAUAAACUAGCCUUUCCUUCGGUGAAGGAUCCGGCGGAAACAGAAACAAUACCAGUCGGCGGAGAGGAAGACGGGAA
This 717-nucleotide long non-coding RNA is filed under the name Eucalyptus grandis. RNAcentral's name for it is "long non-coding RNA (EGRA_LNC007419)". The record is from RNAcentral. Lineage: Eukaryota; Viridiplantae; Streptophyta; Magnoliopsida; Myrtales; Myrtaceae.